Sorex fumeus (smoky shrew) is the source of this 106-nucleotide small nuclear RNA. The record is from RefSeq and is a predicted model, not a curated record. Lineage: Eukaryota; Metazoa; Chordata; Mammalia; Eulipotyphla; Soricidae.
GUUCGCUUCGGCAGCACAUAUACUAAAAUUGGAAUGAUACAGAGAAGAUUAGCAUGGCCCCUGCACAAGGAUAUUAUAAACAUUCAAUUAUUUCCUAAUAAUGGUU